RNAcentral lists this ribosomal RNA (95 nucleotides) under Annulohypoxylon stygium. RNAcentral describes it as "partial 28S ribosomal RNA". Lineage: Eukaryota; Fungi; Ascomycota; Sordariomycetes; Xylariales; Hypoxylaceae. The record is from RNAcentral.
GGCGGGGUUAUAGCACACUCUAAGCGUAGUAGUUUAACUCGCUUUCAGGGAGGCUGUAGCUGCUUGCCGUAAAACCCCCUAUAACUUAUAGUGGU